Molecule: non-coding RNA, 2246 nt
Organism: Spodoptera litura
Lineage: Eukaryota; Metazoa; Arthropoda; Insecta; Lepidoptera; Noctuidae
Source: RefSeq, a predicted model, not a curated record
GCUGUCAUUUACACACGUCAAAAAUGGAGGAGGAACGUCUCUUCGAUGAAAGAGUUUCAAUUCGAGAUUCAGCUCGCCCACUUAAAAAAUAUGGAAGUACUUGUAACCACAUGAAAAGGAACGAAGAAUAUAUCAAGCAUGUGAUGUCAAAAGGCGAUACCCUGCAAGGGCUCGCGCUCAAAUAUGGUGUUACCAUGGAGAAAAUUAGGCGGGCGAAUCGUUUAUUUGCAACGGACAGUUUGUUUUUACGGGAGUACUUAUUGAUUCCCGUCACCAAAGAUUCUCCUUUCUACGAGAAUGGUGAGCGUGUGACGGAGUUGCCUCCACCAAAUCAUCGUGCAUCUAUCGCGGGCAUGCCCACUGGGGAUUUCUCCCCAGGCAGUCCAGACGAGAAGAAAAGCUUUGACGAGUUCCUCAAUAGACUGGACUCCUCACUGGCUGAUAUUAAGAAGCAUGUUGAGAAAACCAAGGAAACUAGCGAAUUUGUGAAAGACCUGGAGGAUGGUUUCGUCCGUCACCGGCCGACGGCGCGGCUCCGGCAGUCUGCGUCCAUGGGUGCGUCUACUUCGUACAAUGAAGUGAUACCGCCUCCGUUGCCUCCGCCGCCGGUGGGUCUCACCCAGGGUAGGCGGGUGGAUACCUCCCUCAGGCGUCUGGAGCGCACUCAUGAUGACCUCUUCCAAUUGUAGCGGCCGAGGCAGCGCAGGUAUGCGCGGUUACAAUGAACGCGAUGAACCUGCGCUGUGCUGACGCCACAGCGGUCGGUCGUCCACGGUCACGGCAGCGGUCGUGUCGCGCGAUCGUGUCGCAGAUCGCAGUCGCACUGAACACUCAAGUACAGUCGGAGGUGGCGCCACUGUCGAAUAAAGUCUUCUCAAUCAAGUCUAAAGCCAAUUUUUUAAGGUAUUUCAAUUUGACCUGACAUAUUUUAAUUUAUUUUAUCAUAGUACCUGUCUGUCAUUUUCUAAGUGAAGAUAGCAUAUUUUUAUAGAAGUGCUUUUUAAUUAAUGGUAGACUUAUUCUACACUAGCGCCCUCCGCGGUUAGUUUAAGUACGACAGUUCUCAGUAGUUCCAGAAACAGUAGCAUCUUAACAUGAUUUUCCACGGGGCGAGGUAUUAAACGAGUAUGCAUAUUUUAGUAAUGAUUUUACACUGUAUUAAUAAGCGUAUAAAAAUCAAAUUUGCUAAUCAACCAAGAUUUAAUAAGUUGUUGUAAGCAGCAAUGCUAUAGAGUUCAAUCUUGUUUGACGAAUUUGCGUGAUUAUUCAUACGAGCACCGUGGGAAAUUAGCUUUUAAAAUAAAUUCAAUAUCGAAUCUAAAGUAGGUUGCAGAUAUUUUUAAAUAUUGUGAAUGCCGUCUCAUUCAUAGCAUAAUGAAAAGAAAUAAUAUGUUUAUGCACUAUAUCUAACUACAUUUCUGAAGUAUCUACUUUUUAUUUCUUUAUUAAUUUUCAAAUGUUUCGCAGCUUGUAUUUUACGAAACAGUUUUAUUUUCUUAAUUUUUUUUUUAGUUCUUUUAAAUAGGGUAAAGUUAUUUAUUUGGUUUUUAAUACAGUAAACGAUGGAGAAAAUUUUGUAAAAUACACUACACACGGUUAUUAUAUUGUACUGUUAUUACUGGUGCUAAUAUUAUUUGACGUUAUUAAACUUCAGUUAUUAAAAAAAUUACGAACUUUUGUCUCUAAAUUAAUUGUGUAAUAACAAGAAAAUCAAUAUUAAAAUAUAAAUAAAUAUACUCUUCUGGCCUCUUGUAAUAUUUAUUUUAAAAUAUGUAAUAAAAAGUUUCUAGUCUUGUAUACGUCAUCGGGGUUCUUAAAAUGCAGCCAGUUACGCUUCGCUUAUUUUGAAAAUAGAAUCUAAGCUUCUAACUUCUGCGUAUGUUGAAGACCUCUUUUAUCUUUUGAAUGAAGAAAUAAAGAGCUAUGGCGUGUUUUGGGAACCUCUAAAUAAAUAAAUAUCGAAUAUAACAAAGUUUAAAAUGUUAUGAUAGAAUCCUUUGAGUUAUGAAUGUGAUUUUCCAAUAAAAUCCACAUAUUAAUGAUAUAAUUAUAGCAAAAUUUGGACGUCUAGCAUAGGUCAUUGUAAAUUUUUGUAUAAAGUCGUUGUUUAGUGUGUCAAAAUUGUAUAAUAGCGAACAAUUUGUUAAAACUUUCAUUUGCCGAUUAGUGUAUGCUUUUUAUUAUCAACUUCUUUUUAUUUAUUUAUGCUAGUUAAGCUUUAAUAAAUCAUAUUUUAUUACUCGUUU